Molecule: long non-coding RNA, 1103 nt
Filed under: Cimex lectularius (bed bug)
Lineage: Eukaryota; Metazoa; Arthropoda; Insecta; Hemiptera; Cimicidae
Description: uncharacterized LOC106662047, transcript variant X3
Source: RNAcentral
AAAAAAAUUCCGAACGAUAUGUCAAAUUAUUCACAAAAGUGAAUAAAUCGAUAUGUGAAUCAUCUCGGGCGAAUGUUCUGGACGGGACCUGUUCGCGACCAUCCCAGGUCGAGAGGGUGGAGAAAAAGGGAUGAUUGGGUACGAUAGAUUUUCUUUCGACUGAAGGACCUUUUCAAUAAGAAAAAUCGAGAUAUUACAAAAUCCCAGCUUGACGAGUUUGAUAUUCGAAAACCUAUUGAUAACCGAAAUAGCGAGAACCCCAAUGCACACGCUAUUUCAGGACAAAAUCUUAAAUUUCCAAUAUUUUGAUUAAACUCCAUAUUGACUUGAAAAUUACAAAAGAAAGCUUGGAAAAGAAUUUUAAAUGAUUAUUUAAAAUACGUAAAUUUUUAGCUUUUUGUUUGUAAUUUUACGUUGAUGUAGGAAAUAAUGCAACCUCAUCUUCAGGAAUAAAAGUCGCGAUCAUUAAAAAGCUACAACAAUGCUGUAUUGAACUGGCAAAUAUUUGUGAAACAAUGGAAAAUAAAUCAGAAUGUCGAAACUGACGAAGGUUGACAAUGCAACAUUGCGAAAAAAGCCUACCCGAUUUUUUAUCAGUUGACAUUUCCUCUCACAUAUGGUUUUCUUGUGAGGUUUCUAGCCUAGCCAUUUGACUGGUCAAAAUUUUAACUAUUCUAAUGUUCGGUAAGAGAAUUCGGUCGGUUGGAUUUCAAUUAUUUGAUUCUCCCGUAUUACAGAAUGCCUGCGAUUGCAGGUUCAUCAGAGGAAAAGGAAAUUUCUCAAAACGGGCCAUGGAAUGGAGUGAUUUUUGAAAUUUGAUGAUCUCGGAAAAUGCCUCCCCGUUCACCUAGCGACGAUAGCAACGAUGACUCGCUAUGCUGUCCAAUGAAAUGCAUAUUAUGUUUAAUAUUUGCUGGGUUUAUGGCCGGAGUCGGGUACUUUUCCUUUUGCACCAUAUCAGAAAAGUGCUAAAAUGUAAUUUCCAUUGAGUUUGCAACUCGUCGUAAGAAGGGAAUGCCAUUUCUUCAAGCCAGUGGAUAUAUACUUGUUAAGUUUUUUGUAGAAUACAUAGAAAAUAAAACUACAGAUGCUUUUCCAAUUGA